Molecule: ribosomal RNA, 253 nt
Filed under: uncultured bacterium
Lineage: Bacteria
Description: partial 16S ribosomal RNA
Rfam family: Bacterial small subunit ribosomal RNA
Source: RNAcentral
UACGUAGGGUGCAAGCGUUGUCCGGAAUUAUUGGGCGUAAAGAGCUCGUAGGCGGUUUGUUGCGUCGGCUGUGAAAUCCCGAGGCUCAACCUCGGGUCUGCAGUCGAUACGAGCAAACUAGAGUGUUGCAGGGGAGACUGGAAUUCCUGGUGUAGCGGCGAAAUGCGCAGAUAUCAGGAGGAACACCGGUGGCGAAGGCGGGUCUCUGGGCAACAACUGACGCUGAGGAGCGAAAGCGUGGGGAGCGAACAGG